Molecule: ribosomal RNA, 497 nt
Filed under: uncultured bacterium
Lineage: Bacteria
Description: partial 16S ribosomal RNA
Rfam family: Bacterial small subunit ribosomal RNA
Source: RNAcentral
GAUGAACGCUGGCGGCGUGCCUAAUACAUGCAAGUCGAGCGAACAGACGAGGAGCUUGCUCCUCGGACGUUAGCGGCGGACGGGUGAGUAACACGUGGAUAACCUCCCUAUAAGACUGGGAUAACUUCGGGAAACCGGAGCUAAUACCGGAUAAUAUAUUGAACCGCAUGGUUCAAUAGUGAAAGACGGUUUUGCGGUCACUUAUAGAUGGAUCCGCGCCGCAUUAGCUAGUUGGUAAGGUAACGGCUUACCAAGGCAACGAUGCGUAGCCGAUCUGAGAGGGUGAUCGGCCACACUGGAACUGAGACACGGUCCAGACUCCUACGGGAGGCAGCAGUAGGGAAUCUUCCGCAAUGGGCGAAAGCCUGACGGAGCAACGCCGCGUGAGUGAUGAAGGUCUUCGGAUCGUAAAACUCUGUUAUUAGGGAAGAACAAAUGUGUAAGUAACUAUGCACGUCUUGACGGUACCUAAUCAGAAAGCCCCGGCUAACUACGUG